RNAcentral lists this unclassified non-coding RNA (23 nucleotides) under Mus musculus (house mouse). RNAcentral's name for it is "oocyte_clustered_small_RNA1041". Lineage: Eukaryota; Metazoa; Chordata; Mammalia; Rodentia; Muridae. The record is from RNAcentral.
UAUGAGGAGUUAGUGGCACAGGU